GGGGGCGAAUAGAUUCGACGGGGAUACGCUAAGUUGCGGCUGCAGGCCCUGGUUGACCAGGCCAGGUAAAAAAGGGUCAAAAACACAAAAGCCAACAACUCAAACGAGUUGGCCUGGGCUCACGCUUAAGUGAGCCUCGCUCCGCACGGUUCUCCCGCGACUGUGCACGAGCGUCAAGAAGCGGGAUGCUGCAUGAGCGCCUUGUCCCGUGCGCGCGUGCUUAAGACACUACGGGGCGGGUGCGGUUUUGGCGGCCCCGGCGCCGCGACCGCAUGCUACUAAGCCGGGGCUAAGCCUGUAGCGGCCCAGCGACGCUGUUUCCGGACCCGGGUGCGAAUCCCGGCGCCUCCACCA
RNAcentral lists this transfer-messenger RNA (354 nucleotides) under Elusimicrobiales. RNAcentral describes it as "JAAYTX01 sp012523635 Standard tmRNA". It matches the Rfam family "transfer-messenger RNA". Rfam says of the family: Bacterial tmRNA, also known as 10Sa RNA or SsrA, is named for its dual tRNA and mRNA-like properties. Its role is to liberate the mRNA from a stalled ribosome. The record is from RNAcentral. RNAcentral also lists the same sequence under 1 other name. Lineage: Bacteria; Pseudomonadati; Elusimicrobiota; Elusimicrobia.